Ochlerotatus camptorhynchus is the source of this 2741-nucleotide RNA transcript. It is a transcript of the gene named farnesol dehydrogenase-like, with no coding region annotated. The record is from RefSeq and is a predicted model, not a curated record. NCBI's taxonomy places the organism in Eukaryota, Metazoa, Arthropoda, Insecta, Diptera, Culicidae. The transcript is spliced from 3 exons.
AGCAUUAUACAAGUCUAAAUCAUGCCCUACAGAUCCCUCAUAAACCCAAAAUUGUUACUUGGGCAACUUUGUUUGGGUAUAUACAAUUGGCUUGCUGACUUCAGUAAACAUGUUUGAGACACUUUUGAGUUUGUGUGUACGGAAAUUGAUCACUCUUCGAAUUCUAAAUUGUAACUAUUGAUAACCAAAAGUGACAAUAAUCAACUUGGCUGAUAUUUGGAGGCAACACAAAAUUUGAACAACCCUAGUGUGCUUAAAUCGUUUAGCAUACAGCCCAAUUUGAUUGAUUGUCUGAAGACGCAAUGCCGGCAUAACCGGAACUAUAGCAUUAUUUUUUAUUAUUAAAUUCAACGGACAGCAGUACAGCAUUCUCUUAUUAUCAGUGGUUUAGAACUCAAUUGUUAUUUAUAAGCUUGCUCAGUAUAACGUUUACCGUCAAACAGAACACAACAUGGACCGUUGGCAAGGCAAAGUGGCUAUAGUAACUGGUGCGAGCUCCGGUAUCGGCGCUGCAACGGUUAAGGAACUGGUCAAGGCGGGGAUGGUAGUCGUUGGAUUGGCCAGGAGAGUUGAGCAGAUCCAAGCACUGAAAGCUGAUCUCCCCAAGGAAGUUGCAUCUAAUUUGUAUGCCUUUAAAUGUGACAUCGCGAAAGAAGACGAUAUUCUGAAGGCCUUCAAAUUUGUCGAGGAGAAAUUCGGUGGAAUGGACGUCCUAGUGAAUAAUGCCGGUGCGUAUGAGAAUGUUGAUUUGUUGGUGGCCGGCAACACUAGCGCCUUACGGCAGUCAUUGGAUGUGAAUGUGCUGGGACUGGCCCUGUGUAGCCGGGAGGCAUUUAUAUCAAUGAAGAAAAGAGCUGCUGAUGGACACAUUAUUCAUAUUAAUAGCAUCGAAGGUCACAAAGUCCCGUGCUACCCGGGUGCCAACCUGUACCCGGCGAGCAAGCAUGCAGUGACAGCUAUUACCGAAACGAUGCGGAAUGAGAUGAGAAAUGCUGGCACCAAAAUUAAAGUUACGAGCAUCAGUCCCGGACUGGUGAAAACUCCUAUGAUGGAUCUUUGCGAUGAGUAUGGAAGCCACGAUACCAGUACGAUGCCAAUGCUUCACCCGAUAGACAUUGCUCAAGGUAUUCUUUAUGCACUGGGUACGCCGCCUCAUGUGCAGGUCCAUGAAUUGACCAUAAAAGCUGUUGGAGAACCGGUUUAGGAGAUAUUUUCAUACGAAAAUGUUGAAAGCAGAAUAUAACAUAAUAGUGGUAUUCACAAAGCGUAAAGAUAUACGCCCUCGUUAAUGAGUAAACUUCCAUUACACUUGAAUGGACCCUGAUAUUUUAACAACAGUGUACAUUAGACGAUGCAAAAUUUGAAAUUUUCGCUCCACAGUGCAAUAUGAAAAAAAGCUAGAGGACAAUGAACAAAAAGUUUGGUUUUCCCAUGGUAAUUUCCAUAUAAACAUCUAAUGGUUUGUGCCCAGCCAGUUUGUUUAUCAAAUGAGUUCACAUUUUGCGAGGGUAAUCAGGACGCAAUUUGGCACCGUUUAAGUGAAAAUUUCAAAUUUUGUAUUAGCCUAGUGUGCAUGCUUACGAUGCGCAUAGUGAAUACCUCUAAUGUGAAUGUCGAUGACAAUAUGCAUAUUCUUAACCGUAAUAUUGGUAGAUAAGCAACACAAUUAUUUCACCUCGUUAAUGAAUAAAAUAAUCUUCUUAAUAAGACUAUCCGUUGAGUUAUUUAAGUGUUAUUUCCGAAAAAAUCGAGGCAAUCGAAUUUUUGUCGAGUGGUGAAUUUAUCUUUAACGGUGAGAAUACUGCAACACUGCACGAGAGCGAUUGUUGAGCGCUACAGACAGGUGCGGGACUCGAUUUUUCGGAGGAAGAAAUGGCAACAGGAAGACCGAAAUUGCGGAGCGAUAAAACAGUUGUACCGCGUUAACGACACACGAAAGCUCUACAAGAAGCUCGCCCAAAAGGCUACCUUUAUAACGGUUAUAGGUAGGUAUAUAGCAGAAAAUGAAAGUGGCACGGUAACAGAUCAAGGAGCACGCGCAGAUGACGCACAGGCCGCAGUCCUCCAAGUAAUCGAGGAAGUGAUCGAUGGGUUGAAACACAAUUAAACCGCUGAGAUUUUACUAGCGAAGUGGAUGGUGUGUCAGAUCUACAAAAUUGGAUUGCUACCGUUACCACGCUAUCACGUCAUUGACCACCACCUAUCUCCAAAAUGCUAUGCUAACGUCUAUCACCAACAGCAAUCAAGAGAGUUAAGCGCUGUCCAGACUGAGCUGUAUAACAAGUUAUAACGGUUGUCAAAUAAUUGCAACACAGAAACCACCAUCAAGAUAGCGCUAUAACAUGUUAUAACCAUAGAGGUAACUCUAAGGCUAGAAGGUCCCGGAGAAACGUGCUCAACUUUUUGGCUCAGCUCUGGUACUAUCUUCGGUCCCAAGCUAAUCUAUGCACCCCUCGAAACAUAGGAAAAUCCACGAGCCACUAAUUUUAUCUGUCAAACUUUCAUAGCGCAUCAAAACAAACAUAGUAGUUGAAUUUUGACUAGAAUGGGGUACGUUAAUCGAUUUGCUUGGGACCAAUAGGCUAGUCAAGAGUUGAGCCAAUUUUAAAUCGUUAGUUUCCAACCGGUGGUAAUACCAUAGAGGUAACUCUAAGACCACUGGGUCCCGAAGAAAAUCAUUAUUAUUUUUGGCUCACUCAGUACCAGAACAACGGUCCCAAGCAGUCCCAAGCUAUUUCACU